CCUACGGGUGGCAGCAGUGAGGAAUAUUGGUCAAUGGACGCGAGUCUGAACCAGCCAAGUCGCGUGAAGGAAGACGGUCCUAUGGAUUGUAAACCUCUUUUAUCAAGGAGCAAAACGCGCCACGCGUGCCUUUUCGAAAGUACCUGAUGAAAAAGCAUCGGCUAACUCCGUGCCAGUAGCCGCGGUAAUACGGAGGAUGCGAGCGUUAUCCGGAUUUAUUGGGUUUAAAGGGUGCGCAGGCGGAAGGUCAAGUCAGCUGUAAAAUUUUGCGGCUCAACCUUAUAGUGCCAUUGAAACUGGCAUUCUUGAGUGAGUGUGAAGUAUGCGGAAUGCGUGGUGUAGCGGUGAAAUGCAUAGAUAUCACGAAGAACCCCGAUUGCGAAGGCAGCAUAC
RNAcentral lists this ribosomal RNA (393 nucleotides) under uncultured bacterium. RNAcentral describes it as "partial 16S ribosomal RNA". It matches the Rfam family "Bacterial small subunit ribosomal RNA", at positions 338 to 729 of the family's 1533-position model. The record is from RNAcentral.